RNAcentral lists this ribosomal RNA (253 nucleotides) under uncultured bacterium. Its description in RNAcentral is "partial 16S ribosomal RNA". It matches the Rfam family "Bacterial small subunit ribosomal RNA", at positions 524 to 776 of the family's 1533-position model. The record is from RNAcentral.
UACGUAGGGGGCACGCGUUGUCCGGAAUCAUUGGGCGUAAAGAGCGUGUAGGCGGCCAGAUAAGUCCGCUGUGAAAUCUCGAGGCUCAACGUCGAGCUGUCGGUGGAAACUGUCUGGCUAGAGUCCGGAAGAGGAGAAUGGAAUUCCUGGUGUAGCGGUGAAAUGCGCAGAUAUCAGGAAGAACACCCGUGGCGAAGGCGGUUCUCUGGGACGGUACUGACGCUGAGACGCGAAAGCGUGGGGAGCGAACAGG